RNAcentral lists this small RNA (125 nucleotides) under unclassified sequences. Its description in RNAcentral is "LOOT RNA". It matches the Rfam family "LOOT RNA". Rfam says of the family: Latescibacteria, OD1/Parcubacteria, OP11, TM7. The record is from Rfam by way of RNAcentral.
UGUCUAAACCAAUGAAAAUUGGCAUGGCAUAAAACCAGUCUAAGGAAACGGAAGCUCUCCGUUCAAUGGAACCUUAGACUGGUUGUGAACCGAAAGGUUCAUAGCUAUUUCCGCAAGGGAAUGGC